This 433-nucleotide ribosomal RNA is filed under the name uncultured bacterium. Its description in RNAcentral is "partial 16S ribosomal RNA". It matches the Rfam family "Bacterial small subunit ribosomal RNA", at positions 29 to 507 of the family's 1533-position model. The record is from RNAcentral.
AAUGAACGCUGGCGGCAUGCCUAACACAUGCAAGUCGAACGAGACCUUCGGGUUUAGUGGCGCAUGGGUGCGUAACGGGUGGGAACAUGCCCAUAGGUUUGGCAUAACUUCCCGAAUGGGGUGCUAAUACGGGAUCUUGUCUCCGGUCCAAAGAUUUAUCGCCUUUGGAUGGGCUCGCGUUGGAUUAGUUGGUUAUUAGGGUAAAAGCCUACAACGGGGAGGAUCCAUAGCUGGUUAGAGAGGCAGCUUACCGACACUGGGAGUGAGAAACGGCCCAGAAUCCUGCGGGAUGGAGCAGAGGGGGAUAUUGGACAAUGGGCGGAGGCCUGAUCCAGCAAGGCCGCGUAAGUGAUGAAGGCCUGAGGGUUGUAAAGCUCUUUUACCCGGGAUGAUAAUGACGGUACCGGGAGAAUAAGCUCCGGCUAACUCCGUG